Molecule: ribosomal RNA, 252 nt
Filed under: uncultured bacterium
Lineage: Bacteria
Description: partial 16S ribosomal RNA
Rfam family: Bacterial small subunit ribosomal RNA
Source: RNAcentral
UACAGAGGUCUCAAGCGUUGUUCGGAUUCAUUGGCGUAAAGGGUGUGUAGGUGGCGCGCUAAGUCGGGUGUGAAAUUUCGGAGCUUAACUCCGAAACUGCAUUCGAUACUGGCGUGCUUGAGGACUGGAGAGGAGACUGGAAUUCAUGGUGUAGCAGUGAAAUGCGUAGAGAUCAUGAGGAAGACCAGUGGCGAAGGCGGGUCUCUGGACAGUUCCUGACACUGAGACACGAAGGCCAGGGGAGCAAACGGG